RNAcentral lists this small RNA (75 nucleotides) under Xanthomonas campestris. RNAcentral describes it as "sRNA sX9". It matches the Rfam family "Xanthomonas sRNA sX9". The record is from RNAcentral. Lineage: Bacteria; Pseudomonadati; Pseudomonadota; Gammaproteobacteria; Lysobacterales; Lysobacteraceae. RNAcentral also lists the same sequence under 4 other names.
AUGUACCCACGUACACUCCGGUUCCUCCGCGCCGUCCGCACCCACCUGACGACUGCUCGCUACGUUUUGUCAGCC